Molecule: long non-coding RNA, 678 nt
Organism: Vigna angularis (adzuki bean)
Lineage: Eukaryota; Viridiplantae; Streptophyta; Magnoliopsida; Fabales; Fabaceae
Exons: 3
Source: RefSeq, a predicted model, not a curated record
GAAGGGAAAUCACCCUCUGCAUGCGCUGACGCCGUCUGUCACAUUAGAAGCUUCUAAAAUCUGUAGUGGGAACCAGGUGGCAGUACAGGAGUGCAUGUCCGUUUGACGUGGGGGAGAAAAAUGAUUUCUCUGAAAACACUUUCCAUCAUUCCCUGCAUUCAUCUUCUUCCUCACGAAACCCUUGCUCUUCUUCUUCUCCAACUUCUCUCUAAAACUCCUUCAUCUUCUCUCUAAGAUAACUCACCAUCAUCUCCUCCGAUCCCAUUUCAGAUACCGUAGAAACAUUCCCUGCACCGUGAGCAUCGUUCUAAACCGAACAGAAUUGAGAUCUGAACUGAUUAAGUGGAAGUUGUGGAGUGAUUCUUUGGGUAGAAAGCUGUGAGAGAACGAGCGAAACCCUUGCAUUUGGAAGUGCACUACUGAACCAGAUGGUGAGGCGCCACUUGAAGAAAUGCUGGAAGAAGAAAAUUUGGAAGACGCCAACCUUGUUGAAGUAGAGGUUAAAGCCGAGCCCUAGAGCGCUCGUUCAGUAGUAGCUGUUAGUGUUUCUGGAUUGUAUUUUGGGACGUUCGGUUAUUUAGUUUUGAAAAGUCGUUCGUUCAGAACUUAGUAUUUUGUAGAUAUAUUCUGAACCCUGUAUCUUGUACGUUCGGCUUUUAAGAGCUGUUGUAAUUAAGA